Long non-coding RNA from Pristis pectinata (smalltooth sawfish), 309 nucleotides. RefSeq lists it as uncharacterized. Lineage: Eukaryota; Metazoa; Chordata; Chondrichthyes; Rhinopristiformes; Pristidae. The record is from RefSeq and is a predicted model, not a curated record. The transcript is spliced from 3 exons.
AUGAGAUCUUCUUUCUGAUCUAGAUGAGCAUGGACACGUGGAAACUAUUUCCAACACCUGCAGUAUUUUGCUUUCUGUUACAAUGGAUUUCCCAGCAAAGGAGGAAGUAAUGAUCUAUUUCUCUAAGGGGCUGGAGUAACAGUGGAACAUUGGAACAUCAAACCCAGGAAUGGGAAAAUUUGUAUGAAAUUCCUACUAUCCUUCAUUACCCACGGCCACCAUCGGAAAGUGUUCUGGGUGAUCAAAAUCAUUGCGGUUGCCAAAUGGCAGGAAGCCCAGCUGAUACUUAAGGAGAUAAUAUUCCACCUC